Molecule: long non-coding RNA, 358 nt
Filed under: Mustela putorius furo (domestic ferret)
Lineage: Eukaryota; Metazoa; Chordata; Mammalia; Carnivora; Mustelidae
Description: lncRNA (ENSMPUG00000028213.1)
Source: RNAcentral
AGAAAAUGUAUGCACAAAUAUAUUCCUAUCAACGUGAGAAAGAAAUGUUCAUAACCACGAUAGCCCUUGUUUUCAAACUGGUCAUUUGAUCAUCAUUCAUAUUUAUGACUUCUUUCUUCUAUUCCCAUAGGCCUUCUUUGCUGUUGGCACGGAUUAAGAUGCAUGAAGUCACUAUAGCAAGAACGGAAGCCAUGGAGGACAAGCAAUUGAGAAGAAAGCAACUUUGUGAGGAAAGCAACACAGAUUUCAAAAUGAUGAUGAUACACAUUAUCAGGUUUUAGUAUGUUCCCAAAUUAACAAAUUCCCUAUAAUAAUUGAUAUUUGUAUUACAUUUACUUCAUAUGUGUUUGCUUUUGAA